This 348-nucleotide unclassified non-coding RNA is filed under the name Zea mays. RNAcentral describes it as "misc RNA Zm00001eb008760". The record is from RNAcentral. Lineage: Eukaryota; Viridiplantae; Streptophyta; Magnoliopsida; Poales; Poaceae.
UAAUCAAUGUGCAAGUGGUGAAGGAAAGAUUUCAGGUUCAAGUUUCUGGUUCUCAAGUUACUAAUCAUCUUAAGACAUGGAGAACUCGCUGGUCAAACAUAUGCAAUUAUAAGAAGAUUAGCUCAGCCCAUUUUGAUGAGCAAACUGGAACAAUAUUGCUUGAUGAGAAGAACUACUUGGAACGGGUGCAGAAAAACCAUUCGAAGCUAAAUUUUUCAACAAGCCACUUGAGAACUACCAUUACAUGGCUGUCAUAUUUGGGAAUCAACAAGCAACUGGACUGUUUGCAAAAUGCACCAGUGAUCCCCUAGGUUUCGACACAUCUGAAAGUGCAGGUACAUAUGAUGU